Molecule: ribosomal RNA, 474 nt
Filed under: Lactobacillus helveticus
Lineage: Bacteria; Bacillati; Bacillota; Bacilli; Lactobacillales; Lactobacillaceae
Description: bacterial SSU rRNA
Rfam family: Bacterial small subunit ribosomal RNA
Source: RNAcentral
GUGCUAAUACCGGAUAAGAACGCAGAUCGCAUGAUCAGCUUAUAAAAAGGCGGCGUAAGCUGUCGCUAUGGGAUGGCCCCGCGGUGCAUUAGCUAGUUGGUAGGGUAACGGCCUCCCAAGGCAAUGAUGCAUAGCCGAGUUGAGAGACUGAUCGGCCACAUUGGGACUGAGACACGGCCCAAACUCCUACGGGAGGCAGCAGUAGGGAAUCUUCCACAAUGGACGAAAGUCUGAUGGAGCAACGCCGCGUGAGUGAAGAAGGUUUUCGGAUCGUAAAGCUCUGUUGUUGGUGAAGAAGGAUAGAGGUAGUAACUGGCCUUUAUUUGACGGUAAUCAACCAGAAAGUCACGGCUAACUACGUGCCAGCAGCCGCGGUAAUACGUAGGUGGCAAGCGUUGUCCGGAUUUAUUGGGCGUAAAGCGAGCGCAGGCGGAAGAAUAAGUCUGAUGUGAAAGCCCUCGGCUUAACCGAGGA